ACUCCUACGGGAGGCAGCAGUGGGAAUAUUGCACAAUGGGCGCAAGCCUGAUGCAGCGACGCCGCGUGAGGGAUGACGGCCUUCGGGUUGUAAACCUCUUUCAGUAGGGAAGAAGCGAAAGUGACGGUACCUGCAGAAGAAGCACCGGCUAACUACGUGCCAGCAGCCGCGGUAAUACGUAGGGUGCGAGCGUUAUCCGGAAUUACUGGGCGUAAAGCGUGCGCAGGCGGUUUGUUAAGCGAGAUGUGAAAGCCCGGCUCAACCUGGGAAUUGCAUUUCGAACUGGCAAGCUAGAGUCUUGUAGAGGGGGUGAGAAUUUCAGGUGUAGCGGUGAAAUGCGUAGAGAUCUGAAGGAAUACCGGUGGCGAAGGCGGCCCCUGCNGCAAGAACUGACGCUCAUGCACGAAAGCGUGGGGAGCAAACAGGAUUAGAUACCCUGGUAGGCUCUGC
RNAcentral lists this ribosomal RNA (450 nucleotides) under uncultured bacterium. RNAcentral's name for it is "bacterial SSU rRNA". It matches the Rfam family "Bacterial small subunit ribosomal RNA", at positions 335 to 800 of the family's 1533-position model. The record is from RNAcentral.